Long non-coding RNA from Bos taurus (domestic cattle), 1056 nucleotides. Lineage: Eukaryota; Metazoa; Chordata; Mammalia; Artiodactyla; Bovidae. The record is from Ensembl.
UCUUCAAAUUGUAGCACCUGUUUUUAAACUGCUAAUAACUGAAACUGGAUAGCAUUCCUAAGUUACACUUUUACUUCUCCUCUCAUUCACCUUUCAAGUUACAGCUUAAAUAUUUUUAUAUUGUGUAUCCAAUAACAGAUUAUUAUAGUUGUGAUAUUUUUCACUACCUUUGCUUUUUAACUUUUAAAUUCGAUUGGUAUGUGAAUUACACACAGCUUUACUGUAUCACAGACUCUCUGACCAUAUAUUAACCAUUCCCAGUGAGUCUCAUGCUACCUUCUUAUGUUUUAAUAAUGUUAACUAGAGUCCUUUUGCUGCCAUUAAAGAACUCCUUGUAACAUUUCUUGUAAGGCAGGUGGCCUGGUAAUAACUCCCUCAGCUGUUGUGCAUUUGGGGCAGUCUGUCUCUCCAUUUCUGAAAGACAGCUUUGCCAGAUACAGAAUUCUUGGUUGACAAUUUCUUUUUCUUCCAGUAUUUUGAAUCUAUCAUCCUAUUCUCUCCUGACUUGAAAACGUUUUGUUGAAAUAUCCACUUAUAGUGUUAUAGGGUUCCUUUUUAAGUAUGUGCGGGGGCUACUGGCUUUGUUCUGCAGACCAUCAACUCCUCCUGCCAGACCCUGGCCUCCAGCCUCGCUGAGCCACACAGUCCCACAGCUGUUACCACUCAGGUUUUCUGAUCCACUGGGCCCCAGAGCUCCUCUCGAAAGUGGGUGGGACUGUGAAUUAGCCUCCCAGCUUGAGCAGGAGAGGGCCAGACUCGGUUCCAGGGCCCCAGCAGGGCUCCUCUUUUUGAGGGCCUCCUUCAGGCAGAUCUGCACCCCUCCGAGUUCCCUGGUCAUAUUGUUGGUAUCCUGGCUCUGCAGAUGAGUAAAGCUGCUGGCUGAGAUGACAAUUCCUAGGACGCUGAAGACUGAUGGCUGGACUUUGGCAGCCACUUUGGAUCCUGAGUUGACUCUGAGAAGAGUAGAGAGAGGAGAAAGAGGAAGCCUGGGAUGCUGAGGACCAUGGAUGUGCCAACCAGCCCAGAAUUACUCACCUGCAGACAUCAUCUUUAUCU